RNAcentral lists this ribosomal RNA (440 nucleotides) under uncultured bacterium. Its description in RNAcentral is "bacterial SSU rRNA". It matches the Rfam family "Bacterial small subunit ribosomal RNA", at positions 338 to 795 of the family's 1533-position model. The record is from RNAcentral.
CCUACGGGUCGCACCAGUGGGGAAUAUUGCACAAUGGAGGAAACUCUGAUGCAGCAACGCCGCGUGGAGGAUGACGCAUUUCGGUGUGUAAACUCCUUUUAUAUAGGAAGAUAAUGACGGUACUAUAUGAAUAAGCACCGGCUAACUCCGUGCCAGCAGCCGCGGUAAUACGGAGGGUGCAAGCGUUACUCGGAAUCACUGGGCGUAAAGCGCGCGCAGGCGGUUUGAUAAGUUGGAUGUGAAAGCCUACGGCUCAACCGUAGAACUGCAUCCAAAACUGUCAAACUAGAGUGUGGGAGAGGAAGAUGGAAUUAGUUGUGUAGGGGUAAAAUCCGUAGAGAUAACUAGGAAUACCAAAAGCGAAGGCAAUCUUCUGGAACGUUACUGACGCUGAGGCGCGAAAGCGUGGGGAGCAAACAGGAUUAGAUACCCGUGUAGUC